RNAcentral lists this transfer RNA (81 nucleotides) under Mycobacterium lentiflavum. RNAcentral describes it as "tRNA-Gln". The record is from RNAcentral. Lineage: Bacteria; Bacillati; Actinomycetota; Actinomycetes; Mycobacteriales; Mycobacteriaceae.
CGGCCGCAUCGACCACCAGGGUCGCCGUCCGUUCUGGACGUAUGCACACGUCCCGUCGGGUUCGACCCUCGAUGCGACCGA